AAUGGUUCGCCUGUGGGCGAUGAAAAGGGAACGGGGUGCGAGUCCCCGACAGUCCCGCUGCUGUAAUUUGCCUUGUGGGAACCCGCAAGAAAGCCACUGCCUUUGAAAGGUAACAAAGGUGGGAAGGCGCGAGUUCUUGUACCGCUUCGCUUUACAAGCGCCCUUUUGGGUCGAGCGUCAGGCAAUAAGUCAGAAGACCUGCCUUUGCGG
Molecule: non-coding RNA, 210 nt
Filed under: uncultured Prevotella sp.
Lineage: Bacteria; Pseudomonadati; Bacteroidota; Bacteroidia; Bacteroidales; Prevotellaceae
Source: RNAcentral